GAUCAUCACCUCCCUCUUGCGCUGCCACAAGGAGCAUGCCGCGGCCGCCAAUUUUUUGGGGAAAUGCAAAGGUCUCAAGCGUGAGGUGGCGCGCUGCUUGGAAGAGGAGGUAUGUUUUUCUGCCAGGAUUGACGCACGGCUUUUGGAUUUCUCAAGGUUUUGCUGCUUGAAUUCGAUAGAGAGCGAUGAAGGAGAAGAGCACGCAAAGUUGCUCGCGGACAAAGUAGAGAAUUUCAUGAUUGCUCCAUGUAAUCUCCCGUGGAGGAUUGGAGCGAGGAGUCCCUGUUUGGAUCAAAGAUGGUGACAAGCGCUCAUAGCGAUCGAGAGCGCGAGAUUUU
RNAcentral lists this long non-coding RNA (338 nucleotides) under Selaginella moellendorffii. RNAcentral describes it as "long non-coding RNA (SMOE_LNC000574)". Lineage: Eukaryota; Viridiplantae; Streptophyta; Lycopodiopsida; Selaginellales; Selaginellaceae. The record is from RNAcentral.